Molecule: long non-coding RNA, 2713 nt
Organism: Rhagoletis zephyria (snowberry fruit fly)
Lineage: Eukaryota; Metazoa; Arthropoda; Insecta; Diptera; Tephritidae
Source: RefSeq, a predicted model, not a curated record
AAAAGUUCGGUUUUAAACACUUAAACCCACACACACACACGCACGCACAAUUUCAAAGGCUGUAUUCGCGAGUGUUUCAUACAACUUCACAAAAAAACUCGAUUUCACAAUAAAUGGAAUCACAGCCAACACACUGUAUCCAUCAAUACCGAUUUUAAUUCAUUAUUGUUUUUUUUUGUUUUUUUGCAUUAUUUAACACGCAAGGUAUACAAACAAAUGCAGUUCGUUGCAUGUUAUCUGUAACAGCGAUGGAAAUGCACGUUCGUUGCUCAAGUCUUUCGAUUUUUGCCGCCAACAAACCUAACAAAGCUAAACAGUGUUUUCGAAGUUUUUUCUUUUUCGAAAAUUCGUUGUCUUACAAUUGUAAUGUUUUCCUUUUGAAAUUUCUUAUUAACACCAACGUAAAUCUAACCAAGCGCCGCGUUAAAGGCUUUGCAUUUUUUAUAUAUAUAUUUUUUUUUUUGAAAUUGGUUGGGCUAACCGUAGCUGCUGCUGCAAUGUUAUAACAAAAUAGUAAAGGCAAGGAACCGUAUUAAUAAUAAUUAACCAACGCAGAGCUGUGAGCUGAAUUUGGAUUCGCGGUCAAUGCUUACUCUUCUCUAACCCCUUUUCUGUGCUAAAUGUGCGCUUCAUCUACGAAAGUGUAUGGCAAGGAAGAUUUUCGUUUAUGGCUAGUUUAGUUACGCUUUGAUUUAAAGCGCAAAUAAACAUUCAGAGAGAGAGAGUGUGUAUACCUCCUACUACGUGGCAAACUAUUUUUCGAAACGAAAAUUUCCUUUGAAUACACUGGUAGUGCGAAAAUUUAUCCAAGUAUACAAAUAUAUAAAGAGCUUUUUUAACAAUAUUCUCUUAAAUUCAUUAUAUUUCACAGACGCCACCACUUCGGAUUUGCCAGCAGGUGUGCUUUACCGUGUCAAGGCGACCUAUGGCUAUGUGAAGGAGGACGUCGACGAAUUAAGCUUCGAAGUUGGCGAUAUUAUACGAGUUAUUGAGUAUGACGAUCCGGAGGAUCAGGAGGAAGGCUGGUUGAUGGGCCAGAAGGAGGGUACGGACGAGAAAGGUUUAUUCCCUGCUAACUUCACACGGCCGAUCUAGACGACCAAGCGGACAAGCAGCAAACAACAGGAGGCCAGUGCAACGAACAAAAGAGCAUCAAUCAAUAAAAAUAAGUGAAGAAUAAGAAAAGGAAGCAAAACUAUCUACAUCGAGAAUUUAGCACCGAGUUUUAAGCAGAAGUAGACAAUGAAAGGCCGUAAAUACAGUCCAAAAAUGGCGUUAAAUUGACUGCAGCGAAUGCAAGAAUAAUUGUUGUUUUUUUUUUAUAAAUAUUUAUAAAUGAAUUUUCUCUGUAGAAAAAUCUAUGUACACUCUUCUAUCCUAAAGCACACAGAAGCAAUCAAAAAAGCAAACUGACGAAAUUUGCUGUAGAACUUCUGAAUUGGACGCCAACUUUUACAUUUGGACUUACAACAUAUACAAUAGAAUGUAUUAACAUAUAUACGUAUAUUACAUUAUGUAGUAACUACACGCAUACAUACAUAUGUAUACCCAUGCAAAGUGCAUAUAUUUUGUUCUGCUGUCUUAUACAUACAUAUGUAUAUAUUUUUGUUCAUAUUUGCAAUACUACAUAUUUUUAUUUAUAUUGACUAUUUUUGUUUUCAAUUAAAAAAAGAACAGUAAAAAAACUAAACAUUAAAAGCUUUUUUUUUUUUUUUAUGAAUGCAGAAGUUAGUAAAAAUACGCUGUUGAUCACAAUAUUUUUGAGAUCAAAGGAAUCGGCCGGAUUCUGUAUUCAUGCCACGGCAUUAAAAAAAAAAACUUUGUUUUAUGUGAGUUUUCAUUUUAUUUUUCACUCGUGCUUCCUUACCACAUUUCUUGAAUUCAAAUCUUUUACAACAAAAAUGUGUAUUUGAAUUCGAAUUGUAAAUUGAUUAUUUCACUAAUUAAUAAUUAAACAUAUCAGACAGAUUUCGUUUAUCAAAAAAAGUUAAAUCAACUUUUCAGAUGAAAGUCGAUCAAAAAUUUAUUGUUAUUGUUAAUUUUUUAAUAUGUAUACAUAUUAUAUUUUAAUAAAUAAGUUUCACUUGAGAAUGGGUAAAACGGAGUAGGCUAAAAGCGCUAACUAAUAUUUAUUAACAAACUAUUUAUUUACUAUAAAUUUGAAAGAACACAAGAGUUAAGUAUCCAUUUUUGGUUGGUUGGUGGCUAUGCGAUCAACAUUUUGCUUAAAAAUGGAAUGUUUAUGUUAACAAAAAACAAUACAAAACAAGAAUAUUAGCAAAACUUAUAGAUACAUAAAGUGUUGAUUUACACUGAAGUUCGCCGCCGAUCGUAAGAAAGUGGAAUGCACAUUUUAAUUAAAACAAAUCAGAGAAAUUAUUACGUGGGAAUAACGAGGGGGGAAUCAGUAUAAACGCGUAGCAUACAAAAAUCAUUUAUACAAAAAUGCAAAAACAUACAUACGAUAUAAACGGAAAUAACGGAAAAUGAAAAUAAUAAACAAGGCCACAAACCUGUUUUCAGGCAGUUCACAAUAUUUAUCAAAAAUUGACCUCAACAAAAUUUGACGAACACAUUAAUGCAAAUAUUUGUAUGUACGUUUUACAUAUCUGCAUUUGAUAGUUAGAAUUUGUGCGCAAAACAAGAGCAUACAUACAUACAUACAUAUGUGUUAAAUAACAGUCUACUUACGUUAGAGUUAAGCGUAAAAAAA